UAGGGAAUUGUUCGCAAUGGGCGCAAGCCUGACGACGCAACGCCGCGUGGAGGAUGAAGGUCUUCGGAUUGUAAACUCCUGUCGUGUGGGACGAACACUCACCGGGCUAAUCACCGGAGGGCUGACGGUACCACGAAAGGAAGCCCCGGCUAACUCUGUGCCAGCAGCCGCGGUAAUACAGAGGGGGCGAGCGUUGUUCGGAAUUACUGGGCGUAAAGGGCGCGUAGGCGGCCUGCUAAGUCGGACGUGAAAUCCCCUGGCUCAACCAGGGAACUGCGUCCGAUACUGGCGGGCUUGAAUCCGGGAGAGGGAUGCGGAAUUCCAGGUGUAGCGGUGAAAUGCGUAGAUAUCUGGAGGAACACCGGUGGCGAAGGCGGCAUCCUGGACCGGCAUUGACGCUGAGGCGCGAAAGCCAGGGGAGCAAACGG
RNAcentral lists this ribosomal RNA (428 nucleotides) under uncultured bacterium. Its description in RNAcentral is "bacterial SSU rRNA". It matches the Rfam family "Bacterial small subunit ribosomal RNA", at positions 355 to 775 of the family's 1533-position model. The record is from RNAcentral.